GGGGGGAAUUUUGGACAAUGGGCGCAAGCCUGAUCCAGCAAUGCCGCGUGCAGGAGGAAGGCCUUCGGGUUGUAAACUGCUUUUGUACGGAACGAAACGGCUCUGGUUAAUACCUGGGGCUAAUGACGGUACCGUAAGAAUAAGCACCGGCAACUACGUGCCAGCAGCCGCGGUAAUACGUAGGGUGCAAGCGUUAAUCGGAAUUACUGGGCGUAAAGCGUGCGCAGGCGGUUGUGUAAGACAGGCGUGAAAUCCCCGGGCUCAACCUGGGAAUUGCGCUUGUGACUGCACGGCUGGAGUGCGGCAGAGGGGGAUGGAAUUCCGCGUGUAGCAGUGAAAUGCGUAGAUAUGCGGAGGAACACCGAUGGCGAAGGCAAUCCCCUGGGCCUGCACUGACGCUCAUGCACGAAAGCGUGGGGAGCAAACAGGAUUAGAUACCCUGGUAGUCCACGCCCUAAACGAUGUCAACUGGUUGUUGGGUCUCUUCUGACUCAGUAACGAAGCUAACGCGUGAAGUUGACCGCCCGGGGAGUACGGCCGCAAGGU
RNAcentral lists this ribosomal RNA (546 nucleotides) under uncultured bacterium. RNAcentral's name for it is "bacterial SSU rRNA". It matches the Rfam family "Bacterial small subunit ribosomal RNA", at positions 354 to 894 of the family's 1533-position model. The record is from RNAcentral.